This 485-nucleotide ribosomal RNA is filed under the name uncultured bacterium. RNAcentral's name for it is "partial 16S ribosomal RNA". It matches the Rfam family "Bacterial small subunit ribosomal RNA", at positions 30 to 508 of the family's 1533-position model. The record is from RNAcentral.
AUUGAACGCUGGCGGCAGGCCUAACACAUGCAAGUCGAGCGGAUGAAGGGAGCUUGCUCCUGGAUUCAGCGGCGGACGGGUGAGUAAUGCCUAGGAAUCUGCCUGGUAGUGGGGGAUAACGUCCGGAAACGGGCGCUAAUACCGCAUACGUCCUGAGGGAGAAAGUGGGGGAUCUUCGGACCUCACGCUAUCAGAUGAGCCUAGGUCGGAUUAGCUAGUUGGUGGGGUAAAGGCCUACCAAGGCGACGAUCCGUAACUGGUCUGAGAGGAUGAUCAGUCACACUGGAACUGAGACACGGUCCAGACUCCUACGGGAGGCAGCAGUGGGGAAUAUUGGACAAUGGGCGAAAGCCUGAUCCAGCCAUGCCGCGUGUGUGAAGAAGGUCUUCGGAUUGUAAAGCACUUUAAGUUGGGAGGAAGGGCAGUAAGUUAAUACCUUGCUGUUUUGACGUUACCAAUAGAAUAAGCACCGGCUAACUUCGUGC